UACCUAAUAGUGACAAUUAAAGGAACAGCAAUGGGCACUUGCAUUGCAACAUAUCUCAAGACAUCUGACUGUGAAACAACAGCAUGUCCAGGAAGAGGUUUCCAUCCCUGUGCUUCCUGAACAUUUGAGCCUACUAAGAUAAAAGGUGGGGCACUGGUCUUCUUGGUGUCGCCCAUCACAUAAGUUGGAAAAGUGACUUUUGGUGGAUGCUGCUGAAACUGUGGAUCCUUAGGAUUAGGUAAAUAGAGGGUUGCUUGGGGAAAAGGCCCAGGUGCAGGUGGCGGUGAUGGGUGACCUUGUUGAUUCUUAUCAGUUAGACAGUAAAGGGUCCACAUGUUAGAAUAUGGUGGUGGUUGUCCU
Molecule: long non-coding RNA, 360 nt
Filed under: Pan troglodytes (chimpanzee)
Lineage: Eukaryota; Metazoa; Chordata; Mammalia; Primates; Hominidae
Description: long non-coding RNA NONPTRT007722
Source: RNAcentral